UACGAGGGGGGCGAGCGUUGUUCGGAAUUAUUGGGCGUAAAGGGUGCGUAGGCGGUUCCGCAAGUCCUGUGUGAAAUCUUCGGGCUCAACUCGAAGUCUGCACGGGAAACUGCGGGGCUUGAGUGUGGGAGAGGUGAGUGGAAUUCCUGGUGUAGCGGUGAAAUGCGUAGAUAUCAGGAGGAACACCGGUGGUGUAAACGGCUUUCUGGACCAUAACUGACGCUGAGGCACGAAAGCGUGGGUAGCAAACAGG
Molecule: ribosomal RNA, 253 nt
Filed under: uncultured bacterium
Lineage: Bacteria
Description: partial 16S ribosomal RNA
Rfam family: Bacterial small subunit ribosomal RNA
Source: RNAcentral